This 367-nucleotide ribosomal RNA is filed under the name Centropyge flavissima (lemonpeel angelfish). Its description in RNAcentral is "partial 12S ribosomal RNA". It matches the Rfam family "Bacterial small subunit ribosomal RNA", at positions 801 to 1372 of the family's 1533-position model. Lineage: Eukaryota; Metazoa; Chordata; Actinopteri; Pomacanthidae. The record is from RNAcentral.
UAAACAUAGACAGUUCACAUACCCGGCUGUCCGCCCGGGAACUACGAGCAUUAGCUUAAAACCCAAAGGACUUGGCGGUGCUUUAAACCCCCCUAGAGGAGCCUGUUCUAGAACCGAUAAUCCCCGUUCAACCUCACCCUUCCUUGUUCUUUCCGCCUAUAUACCACCGUCGUCAGUUUACCCUGUGAAGGUACAACAGUAAGCACAAUCGGCACAGCCCAAAACGCCAGGUCGAGGUGUAGCGUAUGGAAGGGGAAGAAAUGGGCUACAUUCCUUAUCAUUAAGGCAUACGGAUGAUAUGUUGAAACACAUAACUGAAGGAGGAUUUAGCAGUAAGCAGGAAGUAGAGUGUCCCGCUGAAACCGGC